This 170-nucleotide ribosomal RNA is filed under the name Hyporthodus septemfasciatus (convict grouper). RNAcentral's name for it is "partial 12S rRNA". Lineage: Eukaryota; Metazoa; Chordata; Actinopteri; Perciformes; Serranidae. The record is from RNAcentral.
UACCGCGGUUAUACGAGAGGCUCGAGUUGACAGGCUCCGGCGUAAAGCGUGGUUAAGGGUAAAUUAAACACUAAAGCCGAACGCUUACUAGGCUGUUAUACGUACCCGAAAGUAAGAAGCUCAACUACGAAGGUGGCUUUACCUUACCUGACCCCACGAAAGCUAAGGCA